Molecule: long non-coding RNA, 422 nt
Filed under: Sorghum bicolor (sorghum)
Lineage: Eukaryota; Viridiplantae; Streptophyta; Magnoliopsida; Poales; Poaceae
Description: long non-coding RNA (SBIC_LNC010400)
Source: RNAcentral
CAGGAAGUGUUGUAAAUGAGCACUAGCAUCUUCGUUUGCCUUCCCACAGAACUGGUUGGAUUGCACCAUGUUGAUAAGUCCAGGCUUGAGCUCAAAGUUGCCAUUGAUCUCUGCAGCAGGUCCAGUGCGGAUGUUGUCCGUAGUGGGAGCUGAGAACUCGCGGAUUGAUUUGUUCGCCAUGGCUUGGCUGAAGUGUUGAUUGGAUGAAGCUUCUUGCUGAAGUGUUGAUGAUUUCUUCUUGAGCUUGGCUCUCGUCUUCUUGAAUAAUGCUUCAGGAUUGUCAACAAAUUUUCCUGGAAGAUGUCUUCUAUUCAUACAUUCCCCUGCAUAAGAUGAAAUAGGAAAAUAUCAGGGUAAAACUGUAUGAGAGAAUAGAUAAGCUCAAUCAUAUUAGUGAUGCGAAUGAUAACUCAAAAUCCUUU